Long non-coding RNA from Portunus trituberculatus (swimming crab), 608 nucleotides. RefSeq lists it as uncharacterized. NCBI's taxonomy places the organism in Eukaryota, Metazoa, Arthropoda, Malacostraca, Decapoda, Portunidae. The record is from RefSeq and is a predicted model, not a curated record. The transcript is spliced from 2 exons.
AUACCAAGUCAAUAGUAACACCACACAGGGCUAGUGAGUAACCAGAUCACCGGUCCCCCAGUUACCACCAGUCAAUGCUACACACUGCCCAAAGUUCUACACGACAUCAGGGAUCACCAGAACACUAACAAUCACCAUUCCUCACCAGUAUCCUUCAAGCAACCACAAGAAACUACCAGGAAAGUAUACGCGGGAAUGAACAGGCGGACAUGCUAGCUCGGUCUGCUGAAAGCUCGAGGGAGCGUGGAACCGUCGUCGGGAUCUGCAGUCAUGUCUUUCAGUUGUUAAAUCAUCAGCAGAACUCCUGUGGCAAAGUCACUGGGACAACCUCCACCUCUACACCAAACCCAUCCUGGACAAGUGGGCCUCCUUCAAUCGCCCUACAAGACGAGAGGAAGUUGUCCUCGCACGCCUCUGAUUGGGCUGCACCUUCCCCACCCACAUGCUCCCCUACAUCGCCAACACCUUCCAAACACAGUGUUCCACAUGUAAUGUCACUCUUUCUAUCGAGCACAUCCUGCUUCACUUCAAGAGAGAGUUUUUUGGUGCUGUAACUUCACCACAUCAUCAUCAAUGCUAAAAGAAAAAAAUAAAGAAAUGAAAUAAAA